CCCUUAGAUGUUCGGGGUCGCACGCGCGCUACACUGAAUGAAUCAGCGAGUGUAUGUCCUAGGCCGAAAGGUCCGGGUAACCCGUUGAACCUCAUUCGUGAUUGGGAUAGGGACUUGCAAUUGUUUCCCUUGAACGAGGAAUUCCCAGUAAGCGCAAGUCAUCAGCUUGCGUUGAUUACGUCCCUGCCCUUUGUACACACCGCCCGUCGCUACUACCGAUUGAACGGUUUAGUGAGGGCCUCGGAUUGGUCUCGGCCCGCUCUUUACCGGGCGGCGCCGUUGGUCGAGAAGACGCUCGAACUUGAUCGUUUAGAGGAAGUAAAAGUCGUAACA
Molecule: ribosomal RNA, 333 nt
Filed under: uncultured eukaryote
Lineage: Eukaryota
Description: partial 18S ribosomal RNA
Rfam family: Eukaryotic small subunit ribosomal RNA
Source: RNAcentral